This 564-nucleotide ribosomal RNA is filed under the name Amsacta albistriga. RNAcentral's name for it is "bacterial SSU rRNA". The stretch from base 128 to 317 matches the Rfam family "Eukaryotic small subunit ribosomal RNA", at positions 29 to 599 of the family's 1831-position model. Lineage: Eukaryota; Metazoa; Arthropoda; Insecta; Lepidoptera; Erebidae. The record is from RNAcentral.
CUUACUCAGCUAGAUGUCUCUUAAGCGGAAUACUACAGCUAACAAAAGCAAUCAAACACUGACCAAUGAUGGGAAGAGUGCUUUUAUUAGAUAACAACCUCUCGACGGAGGGCCCCCCGUCCGAAGUCGUUAAUUUUGAUGAAUCUGCCUAACUUUUGCCCCCACUCCCGGCACGGGGAGGUAGUGACGAAAAAUAACGAUACGGGACUCUUACGAGGCCUCGUAAUCGGAAUGAGUACACUUUAAAUAUUUUAACGAGGAACAAUUGGAGGGCAAGUCUGGUGCCAGCAGCCGCGGUAAUUCCAGCUCCAAUAGCGUAUACUAACUUUUGGUUCCUUAUAUCUUACUCUUUUACUUGGAUUACUGUGGUAAUUCUAAAGCUAAUACAUGCAAUCAGAACUCUGACCAGUGAUGGGAUGAGUGCUUUUAUUAAAUCGAAACCACUCGACCGACGGCCUCCCGUCCGAAUUCGUUAAUUUUGAUGAAUCUGGAUAACUUUUGCCGAUCGCAUGGUCCAUUACCGGCGACGCAUCUUUCAAAUGUCUGCCUUAUCAACUUUCCAUG